GUGCUAAGCUUAGUGCUCUCUCUCCCACCACCAGUGGCAGAGCCACUGUGUGGGGAGAAACACCUUUUUAUCUUGGAGAGGGGCAGCCUUGUUUCUGAGGACAGAUGGGAGCAAAACGGGACAGGUAGGAAGUUUCGUGGUUUCUCGUGUCGCUUCUCCAAAAUAGCCACACUGCUGCCUCCCACUUCCUGCCUGACUCGGCUGGGGUAGAUUUUCUCCUUUAGAGGAUUUGUGUUCUGUGUAUUCCCAGGGAGGCUCGAAGGGAUCUGUUGCCAAAAACAUGCUUGACACUGAAGCCCUGGAGCUUGGCACUGAGGGCCCCAGCUCAGGUUUGGACCACUGGGUUUGCAUCCGGGCUCUGUCUCAUACUGGCUGCGUGACCUUGGGCAAAUGACUUCACUUCUCUGUGCCUCAUCAGUAGGAUGGAGAUAACAACUCUAGCUAUAUCCAGCAGUUACUCUGCAGAUUAAAUGAAUAUGUGUAAAGGGCACAGCCCAGUGUGGGCACAUAGCAACUCUUAAUGAAUCUCUUAAUAAAAAACAGCAAUGUUGUUGUUGAUCUCCAUCCCCUACCUGGAAAACUGUACCAGCCUCCCAGCCACCUUCCCUUUCCCCUGGCUUGCCUGCUCCAGCACAUCCCAGCAUGAUCCGAGAGUGAUAGAAACGUGAAACACAAAUCUGACCCUGCUAUCUGCUGCUUAAAAUCCACCCAUAGCUUCCAGCGUCUAUGGCAGGAAUGAGCAUUCUUUUGCUCUGAAUGGCCAGAUAGUAUUUGAAGCUUUGCCGGGCAUAUAGUCUCUCUUGACUUUGUCAUUGCAGCCUGGAAGCAACCACAGAUAAUAUGUAAAAAAUGGGCGUGGUUGUGUUCCAGUAAAAUUUUAUGUACGAAAACAGGCAGCCGGCUGGAUUUGCCAACCCUUGACCUACAGGAUGAAUCCAGACCCUUAGCUCAGCAUUCCCAGUUCAGCCUGUUCCCGUUAUCUCCAUCCUUCUUCCUCCCCCACCCCUGCUCUUGUGCAGAACAUGUCACACUUUAAUCCUUUGCGUGUGCUGCUCCCUCUUUCUGAGUUUUCCUUCCCUGCCCCCUGAGUGCCCCUUCCCCAUGGCAUUAGGACCUUUACUCUGGGAUUCUGUGGUACCCUGUCUUUAUUUCUACCCUGGUCAUAUAUGCAAGUUCCAUCUGUCUCUCCAUGAGAGGGGCUCCCCUCUAGGCAGGGAUUCGGCCUUCCUCUUCUGUACACCCAGCAGGGUGCUGCUGUAUAGGUUUCUGCAGGUGCUCAGUAAGCAUUUGUUAUUGAACCCAAGGAUCUGCAAGAUGGAUGGUUGGCCUCAGGGAGCUCACAGUCAGCUUAGAAAGCUAGGAUAUGAGCCAGUCAAAAGCCAGCCAGCAAUCCAGGCAGGAAAUGAUGAUGGUCUGUGUGUUUGGCCCUAACUGAUGUCAAGUGGAGAUUCUGAGCUUGAUAGAGGAAGGGCCUCGGGUGGUCCUCGAGGUGCCGCAGGUGGAAGAAGAACAGGCCAAGGCAAAUGCCUCCGGUACCCAGCACUGCCUGGUGCACAGUAGUGGUUGAUCAGUAAUUGUUGAACCAAUCAGGGUUUCUGUUUGCUUGAAGGAAAGGGUAGGAGUGGAGGGUGAGUGACUGGGUGAAUGGGUGCUAUGAGGACAAAGGAGAGUGGAGUUUAGAGGUAGCACUAGUGUCGCAAGCCUGAAGGUUUACCAGAGACAGAGGGGUGAAAAGAUGAGUGGGGCACUAAGCAUAUUGAAUGUGAGAGCUGCUGGAAAUGCAGGAUUGGGGCGUGCUGGGUGGGGCAGGUGAUGUGUGCAGCUGUGGAAGCUGCUACCAAGUCAAGCAUUUUCAGAUGGACAUGCUUAGGCAGGAAGGAACAAGGCUUGGCUCCUGGCCUGGGGAGAGUUAACCUCCUGGCCCGGCAUUGCAUAACCGCAGAGUCUGCUGAGCGCAAGGAGACUCUUCUGUGUGGCAGCCAGAGUGGCAAGCCUGGUGGCUCCGGGCUCUGGCACCAUCCCGCAGCGGAACAAACAGCCCUCCCUUCCCAGAUAAUGGCCCUCAUUGAGCAUUGUGUCCAUGGCCAGCACCCAGCACAGGGCAGCUCAGCCUGGGAGAAAGGUAAAAAAAGGUUAACAAGCUUAGCCCUUAUGAAGGAAAGGAAGGCUGCUAAAAACAGUGUUUGGUUACCUGCAGUGUCAGGACUGUGAUUCAAAUCUGUGUCCUCUCUGUGAGGCUGGUGUGGCCUGGCUGCCUUGAGGGUCACCACUGCAGGAGUCACCUGAUGGUCCAAGUUCAGGUUCUGUCUCUGCUACUUAUCAGUUUUGUGAUUUUGGGCCUCAGUUUCCUCACCUGUAAAAUGGGAAUGAUAAUAGUACCCGCCUGAAGGGUCAUUGUGAGGAAUAAAUGAGUGAAUUUGCGUAACAUACUAAGAACAGCCCUGGCACAUAGUCAGAGUUCAUUUGCUCCGUCUAGGCACAGGACAUUGGUUUAGAUGAUCUUCCUCUGAAUUAUUAUGCCCACAGACAAUCAGGGGAAAUCUGGGCCUCUGCAAGUCUGGCAGAGUAGAGUUUUUGCUACAUCAUUGCUUGAUCUUGACUGUGAAAUGUGUUUUUGCUUUCUAUGGGGAUGUCACAGGAGACUUCAUUCUCCUUGGUGAUAUCAGUUUCACCUGGAUCCCUGAGCUCUCUAACAGGAAGACAAAUACCAGCCGGGUCUAACUCGUCUAGGAUUGCCUAGGCUUCUGUUUGCUUUCGAUAGAAUUUGCUUUUUGACCAGUGUGCAGAAAUUCCAAGCCCUGUUUAGGUCUUGGAGUUGGGAGGGAGGAGGAGAAGGAAAAGUAGGAACACAGAGACCAGUCAUCCAAGGGAAAUGAUUUAAGAGCCUCCCAGACAGUGAAAAAUCCACCAUUCAUUAUUGAGGGAAAAAGCAGUUAACAAGAAACUCAGCCCUAAGGUUAACAUGGUCAUGCAGAGUGACUUGCAUGCAGGGAGGACUUUGAUGCAAGUGUAUGUAGGUGGCUGCAGUUAACCAGGGAAGACUUCCUGGAGGAUCUCAGAUACAGGGAAGGAAGGUAGGAUCCACUCGGUCAUUCUGACCAAGAUCAGGGCCCUUGGGGGUUUCCUGGAUGUUGGCCAGCACUCAGGGUUCAAAUCCUGCCUUUGCCUUUUUGUGUCUGAUCUGAAGCAAUUAGCCUCAGCCCUGCCCCCAUCUAUAAAAAGGGGAUGUGUAAGAAUCAAUAUGUUUGUUUUGUUUGGGCAUGGUAGGUGGUCAGUUAAGUGUUUUUAAAUAUUUUUAAUAUUUUACUGAGUGUGGAGUUCUGUAUCAGGCACUGGAAAUGCAAAUCUGAAUGGAGCCUAGUUCCUGCCCAGGCCAGGGGGAGGCAGGUUCACCUGGAAGACACUGAUGAACUGGUUAAGCCACAGGCCUGGCU
RNAcentral lists this long non-coding RNA (3434 nucleotides) under Homo sapiens (human). RNAcentral's name for it is "HSALNT0291747". Lineage: Eukaryota; Metazoa; Chordata; Mammalia; Primates; Hominidae. The record is from RNAcentral.